CAGCCGCCGCGGUAAUACGUAGGGUGCAAGCGUUAAUCGGAAUUACUGGGCGUAAAGCGUGCGCAGGCGGUUCGUUAAGACAGAUGUGAAAUCCCCGGGCUUAACCUGGGAACUGCAUUUGUGACUGGCGGGCUAGAGUAUGGCAGAGGGGGGUAGAACUCCACGUGUAGCAGUGAAAUGCGUAGGGAUGUGGAGGAAUACCGAUGGCGAAGGCAGCCCCCUGGGCCAAUACUGACGCUCAUGCACGAAAGCGUGGGGAGCAAACAGGAUUAGAUACCCCGGUAGUCCCUGUCUCUUAUAC
Molecule: ribosomal RNA, 301 nt
Filed under: uncultured bacterium
Lineage: Bacteria
Description: partial 16S ribosomal RNA
Rfam family: Bacterial small subunit ribosomal RNA
Source: RNAcentral